GAAAGAUGAAAAGAACUUUGAAAAGAGAGUUAAACAGUACGUGAAAUUGUUGAAAGGGAAACGAUUGAAGCCAGUCGUACCUUCGGGUAAUCAGCCUUUCGGGUGCGAUUCUGUGGAGUGUGAGGAGCUUAAACACCUUCAUGUUUUGCAUAUUCGUACUCUUGGGUGUACUUGCCCGUGUGGUUGGUUAACAUCAAUUUUGGUGGUCAUAAAAUGACUGGAGGAAUGUAGCUUCGAUCUCGUAUUGAAGUGUUAUA
Molecule: ribosomal RNA, 257 nt
Filed under: uncultured Rhizophagus
Lineage: Eukaryota; Fungi; Glomeromycota; Glomeromycetes; Glomerales; Glomeraceae
Description: partial large subunit ribosomal RNA
Rfam family: Eukaryotic large subunit ribosomal RNA
Source: RNAcentral